This 197-nucleotide ribosomal RNA is filed under the name uncultured bacterium. Its description in RNAcentral is "partial 16S ribosomal RNA". It matches the Rfam family "Bacterial small subunit ribosomal RNA", at positions 328 to 539 of the family's 1533-position model. The record is from RNAcentral.
ACGCUCGACACCUACGGAGGCAGCAGUGGGGAAUAUUGCACAAUGGGGGAAACCCUGAUGCAGCGACGCCGCGUGAGCGAAGAAGUAUUUCGGUAUGUAAAGCUCUAUCAGCAGGGAAGAAAAUGACGGUACCUGACUAAGAAGCACCGGCUAAAUACGUGCCAGCAGCCGCGGUAAUCUGAGCGGGCUGGCAAGGC